Molecule: small RNA, 24 nt
Filed under: Arabidopsis thaliana (thale cress)
Lineage: Eukaryota; Viridiplantae; Streptophyta; Magnoliopsida; Brassicales; Brassicaceae
Description: ATSL119010
Source: RNAcentral
UUCAUGUGAAAUGUAGCCGCCAAC